GAUGAACGCUGGCGGCGUGCCUAAUACAUGCAAGUCGAGCGAACAGACGAGGAGCUUGCUCCUCUGACGUUAGCGGCGGACGGGUGAGUAACACGUGGAUAACCUACCUAUAAGACUGGGAUAACUUCGGGAAACCGGAGCUAAUACCGGAUAAUAUAUUGAACCGCAUGGUUCAAUAGUGAAAGACGGUUUUGCUGUCACUUAUAGAUGGAUCCGCGCCGCAUUAGCUAGUUGGUAAGGUAACGGCUUACCAAGGCAACGAUGCGUAGCCGACCUGAGAGGGUGAUCGGCCACACUGGAACUGAGACACGGUCCAGACUCCUACGGGAGGCAGCAGUAGGGAAUCUUCCGCAGUGGGCGAAAUCCUGACGGAGCAACGCCGCGUGAGUGAUGACGGUCUUCGGAUCGUAAAACUCUGUUAUUAGGGAAGAACAAAUGUGUAAGUAACUAUGCACGUCUUGACGGUACCUAAUCAGAAAGCCACGGCUAACUACGUG
Molecule: ribosomal RNA, 497 nt
Filed under: uncultured bacterium
Lineage: Bacteria
Description: partial 16S ribosomal RNA
Rfam family: Bacterial small subunit ribosomal RNA
Source: RNAcentral